RNAcentral lists this long non-coding RNA (1155 nucleotides) under Homo sapiens (human). RNAcentral describes it as "HSALNT0279199". Lineage: Eukaryota; Metazoa; Chordata; Mammalia; Primates; Hominidae. The record is from RNAcentral.
GCGGAAGCGAGUCAGGGCUCAAGGCUCCUCCUGCUCUGUUCACUCCUGGGUCCCCUUGAGUGUCUGGUUCCUGCCGGUUUUCCCAGGAGACCCCAGGCCAGCUGCAGGAGGCCGGGGUUGGACCUUCCAUCCAGCUGAGUCCACUCACCUCCAAGAGCUCUGAUCAGGGCCCUCUGGGUGCUGCUGUCCACACAAGGCCGGCUCUGUCUCUGCCUCCCUGCCCCACUCAGGGAGGGUUGGGUCAUGGUAGGGAGGCCCUGGGGUGCUCAGAGCGUCUGGGCAGCAGGAGUACAUCGCUUCCAAGAAGGAUCAGUUUCCCAACGCUGAGGCCAACACUGUCUGGAGCCCUGAGGAGGGCCCCAGGUGGCAGAUACCAGGACGGGUGCAGCCUCUGCCACCCUCACCUCCCCAAAGCAUCCGGUCUCAGGCACAGGGAAUUGUAGCCGAGGGCCAGGGUCCCAGGAGGAUCAAAGGUGGGACCUUCCAGGGUGGUCUCCUGUGACCGUCACUGCUUUCAAACCACCAGGGGCAGCGCGUCUGCCCCCACAGCCUGUGCCACCAGGAGAGACCAGGCCAUCCAUCUGGGUUUAAUUUGGAAAUUAGGCAGUGUUCAAGUUCCAUUAUGUGGCAGAAUUAGCCGCAGAAGCCAAGGCAGCGUCACGCAUGGAGAAUGAGCUAUGGCUUCGUUAAUCAGGGGAGACAGCGCUGGGAACCAGGAGGCCGGCGAGGUCACCAGAGGAAGGAGGGGCUGCAGCCGCCGUGGGGUGCCAGACACCUGGGCCCCACCUCGCCGCCAUCUGCCCUCAUAAACCCGGGUCUGGUGGGCUCCCAGCUCUGGCCGGCCCAUUCCAGGCCAGACAUCUGCCUCACUGCCAGCUGCCCCGAGAAACCCUAAUGUGGUGGGCUCCCAGCUCCAGUUCCCAGCUCCAGCCGGUCCGUCUCCGGGACACUCCCGGGUAUGGGUGUUUGUUCUCUACCCUGCUCCUCUGCCCGAAGCCGGUCUCCCUCCUCAGACCUGACUCCAUUCCAGGAACCCCCAUGAAAGGGGCAGGUGGGCCAUUUGACGGGGAGGUUGGGAUCUCUGCUGGGUGAUAGGGGCUUAAACCACCAUCUGUGGCAACGCUGGGAGGACAGGACAAGACUCAGCGUGUCCGG